UCGGUGACCACAUCGCCAGCUGGACUGACCUGCUCCGAAGGGUCUCCCUCCUCUUCCUCGCACCUGUGAGGACAGACAUGGCGCACCUGGGGUACAGUCGCCAGCGAAGCAUCUGCCUUUCAGCAGGAAAAACAAGCGGAGGAACGGGCUGAAACCAUGUGACUCUGCGUCAUGGAAACAAGCAGGAAGGCCUGUACACACCUCCACUCGAUGGCGCGGUCAAUCGAUUUGAAAGUCUUGGGUCGUCCCCGGAGGAAGUUCUGCAUGCUGUGGAGAACGUCCAUGGCACUUCCUGGAAAAGGAAGGACUGUCCGUCAUGCACAGCCCAGCACAGGCAGUCCAGCUGCAUCGCAGGUGUUGCCGCGCUCUCUCCCCCCUCACCCUCCACCACGUCGAUGACCACGAGCCCCACCACGGUGGGCAGCAGGCCGCUGCUGGCUGUGUGGAUGGCGAUGGCUCCGCCCAUGCUGUGGCCCACCAGGAUGAUGGG
This is a long non-coding RNA of Anguilla anguilla (European eel), 490 nucleotides long. RefSeq lists it as uncharacterized. The record is from RefSeq and is a predicted model, not a curated record. The transcript is spliced from 3 exons. NCBI's taxonomy places the organism in Eukaryota, Metazoa, Chordata, Actinopteri, Anguilliformes, Anguillidae.